UUAAAGUUAAAAGUCAUUUAAAUGUUUCUUUUGGAGCUGCUUUGACUGCUACGGUAGUGGGUGUUUCCUAGUCUUUUUCUGUUUAAACCUGGAAUUUUCAGUACUCUCAUUGUCCACAUCAAUGCUACAAGAUUUAGGUGAGGGGGUAGCAAGGUAGGGGGGACUCCUAUAUGCUAAACAUUAUCCUUGGUGCUGCAGUAAAUACAAAACAAAGUUAUGCCGUAGGUUUCAGGCGGCAGCCUAAUGUCAUGGGAAGGACAAGGGUAUGGAUUUAGUCAGGGUACAAUAGGCUAUGCUGCAGUAACAAAUAAAUUGUGAAAUUUCAGUGGCUUAACACGAUCCAUAUUUGUUUCUUACUCCUCUUUCAGUUGUGAUGCAGCUCUGGUGGCCAUUCUCCAUCUGAUAGGGCUGUCGUCUGGAACUUACGUCCUUCAAGGUUGCCAUGGGCAGGGAACGGAGGACAGGGACCCUGUGGAUGCUUUUAAAGACCAGGCCUAGAAUUUCCCUACGAUCCCUCUGCAACAUUGUGCAGGCCCAAGUUCAAUCGCAUGGCAGGAACCAAAUUUCAAGGUCAACGGAGGCUGGGAGCCUAGUCUCCUGUGUGUCCAAGAGUAGGAAAUGGAGUGGUGAGGAUUAGAGAGUCGUGCAAAGGUGGAAUUCAAGGCAGGAGCAGGAUGGAUCAGUGAAAAGUGCACGUAGGAGAGAAUGAAGAAGCAGAAUGGAGAUUACUCAUAUGUGGUUGGUCCUGUCUUCAACCUUAGUGACCCUGUCCAAGAAAAGUUGAACAGAAAAAGAGUAUCAAGAAAAAAUUGGAAAUUGUCACGAUCCCACUAUCCAAAGAAAACAACUGCUAACCUUUAGGUAUAUUUCUGUGGGUUUUGUUAUUCUUGUUAUUUUUUUCUGUGUUCAUGUGUAUUUAGAAUUUUCAUUCUAUUGCUCACUGUAUGACUGUAAUCAAGUUACUUAACUUCUCUUGAAUCUCACCUUCUCUUCUGAAAAAUAAAUAUAAAAAUCGUACCCUCCUCAUAGAGUUGUUAAGAGAAUUAAAUAAGGUGAAGCAAGUACAGUGUUUAGUAUAAGCCAGACACAAAGUAAACAGUCAGUAAAUGUUACCUUUCUCCUCCUCCUCUUUCUUCUUCUCCUCCUUCUUCCUCCAUCUUGAGCAUGAUGUAGCCUUUCUGGGAUUGCUAACCUUAUACCUUUCAGAGUUGUGAGGAUAAAAAGAGAUAAUGACCGUAAAUGUCAUCUUUGUAAACCACAUGGUCCCCAAAUUUAUUUCUAGUAUAUUGAAUGCCACAGAAUUACAAUAUAGAAAACCAAAUGUUUCCUCUUUUAAAAAAUAUUUUGCAAUCACCACCCUGUUCACAAACA
Trichechus manatus latirostris (Florida manatee) is the source of this 1371-nucleotide long non-coding RNA. RefSeq lists it as uncharacterized. The transcript is spliced from 3 exons. The record is from RefSeq and is a predicted model, not a curated record. Lineage: Eukaryota; Metazoa; Chordata; Mammalia; Sirenia; Trichechidae.